GUCUGCAAAACGUUAUAUAGGUUCUUACUCUAAAGGAGAAACUAGAAAAAUAUCAGCAACCUCAAGUCCGUAACUUUUAUAGGGUAUAAGGUCUUGUGGUGCAACAGUUAAUUAGAUGUGACCUUAAAAUGAACAGCUGAUAUAUACAUCAUAGGAAAUAAGAGACCAUGUUGACUUUCGAAAAACAUUCUUUAAUUCACAAAGGUGCACAAAUUCCGUGUUUACUUGAGUUAUAGUUAACUAUACAGCUCUUUGACAAUCAGCGGUAGACCUUGCAACUGAGCGUAUUCGUCUACCAGCCGCGCAAUAAACUGAUAGCUCGAUUAAAGGCCCAAAUCGUCUUCGCAGAAAAGAAGUGCGCAUGCGUGAUAUCACGUAUUUGGGGAAUAUCACGCACGCGCACUUCGUUUCUGCCAAAAGUUGCAAUGAGCUGUUUGACGCACACUAAGGAAUUUUUGUCACGAAUGACAGAAAAUAUCAAACAAAUUUGAUAUUUGUUGUUCACGACACGAGUGACAAAAAUACUGAAUAUUUUCCCCGCACCUUAGGAUUUUUGUCGCACGUAAUUGAUCACGAAUGACAAGUGUGCGUGCAACUUGCACUAGUGUGCACCGGGCUUUAUGUGCGCCAAUUAAUGCUAUUGAACAAUGGACAGCAGUAAUUACUUACAGCGAUUAAGUCCUUGAUUCUGUCCUUGAAGAUUAGUGACAGAUUACGUUAAGGCCUCAGUUAUAAUAGGGUAGAAUAGUGCAACGAGAUUUUAAGCAAUACAAACUACCUAAAAGGUGUAUAAAAAGCGGGACCUUUAGAAAUCAGAAUUAACCUAACAUCAGCAAUUUCGCUUUGUUUCAGUGAUGUGAAUACAAUUAGAAGCUAUCUUAAAUGCCAAAAUGUAUAAGAUUAUGUGCUUUUCUGAAGUUUCUGAAAGCUAAAGGUCUUGUUUUAGAAUAGAAUAGAAUAGAAUAAUAUAAUUUGCACACACAUUAUAAAUACAAGAUACAACAAUUUUCUACAUUAAGUAUUAUAAAACAAAAAGAAUUAUGUGCAUAGCCACCCGUAAGUACUGUAACCAUAGGGGCUAAUCGAGACAGGUGGCUAUCAAUUUUUAGUAGAAUAUAUACAGUAAACAAUUUUUAAAUAAAUGUGUUACAAGAUGG
Paramuricea clavata is the source of this 1157-nucleotide non-coding RNA. NCBI's taxonomy places the organism in Eukaryota, Metazoa, Cnidaria, Anthozoa, Malacalcyonacea, Plexauridae. The record is from the annotation of a GenBank genome assembly.